Molecule: non-coding RNA, 72 nt
Organism: Phrynosoma platyrhinos (Desert horned lizard)
Lineage: Eukaryota; Metazoa; Chordata; Lepidosauria; Squamata; Phrynosomatidae
Source: the annotation of a GenBank genome assembly
GACAGCAUGGUGUAGUGGUUUGAGUGACGGACUGUGGCUCUAGAGACCAGGGUUCAAUUCCCUGCUUGGCCA